RNAcentral lists this long non-coding RNA (769 nucleotides) under Brachypodium distachyon (stiff brome). RNAcentral describes it as "long non-coding RNA (BDIS_LNC003535)". Lineage: Eukaryota; Viridiplantae; Streptophyta; Magnoliopsida; Poales; Poaceae. The record is from RNAcentral.
GAGAUCGACAUCGCGCUUGCAUAUAUGCCAGCGACGCGGCACCUAACCUCGGAGCUAGCCAACGGCCUGACGCACUCAGGAGUAUCACUGGAUUGAUGCCUGUGGACUAUAUAUACGCAUGACUCAUGACGCCGCAGCUGUCGUAUUCGCCUUUCUUGGAGAAACUUUUCCACUUUCAAGAGAUUUCUUGGAGAUAUUGUAACUACGACGGCUUCAAUUUCAUCCCCUUUUCUUUUCUUUUCUUUUCUUUUCUUUUGUGCGAUCCCUUCUAAGUUCAGUCUCGUGCAAACGUACGCGCUGCAGAACCUUCAGUCAGUUGUGUCUCUAUCAAUGCCACUGUGGCCGUACUUCUAUAUGAACUUGCUGAGGAAGUACUCUUGCUCUGUACGUAGCUAGUAUUCAUUGUCCGGGCUUGUCUACGUUCGUUCGUUCACGCACGGCUCUCUCUUUCAAUUUCCUUGCUGUCAAAGCUACAGACUUACAUGAACGUAUGACGGUGUAAGGCGUUGCCUUUUUUCCUUUCAGUACUUACCUUCAGUCAGUAGCUAUCCUUUCAAUUGACACGUAUUGCCAGUACAUUUUCACCUUUUGGCCAGCGCAGAAAAUUUCUGCUCAACAUAGUAGGCUAGUACUCCAACAACAACCUUCUCACUGACUAUGACGAACCUUUCCAACUGGAAGUGAAGCAUUCAGAACACAUGAUUUCAUUCUGCCUGCUGGAAACUCCUUCACACUGCACAAUUGCAGACCAGCAUUCUCUGACAAGGCA